CCCAAACGCCUCCAGCACUCACCCAGGGACCUCCCGGACAGCGAGCAGCGCCCAUCCAAGCCCAAACCCUACAGUUGCCCUAUCCCCAAACUCAAAGGAUCUGGAUCCUAACCGCGGUAGAGCUGCUCAUGGUUAGUGACCUCAGUUCUGUCGACUAAGACCAAGGCCAGGCCCCCCUCCCUGAGCUCUGGCAUUCUUCCCCUCUCUGCCCAGGUAGGAUCAUACCCAGCAAAGGCUUCUGGGCACAAAUAGGUAU
This is a non-coding RNA of Phascolarctos cinereus (koala), 256 nucleotides long. The record is from RefSeq and is a predicted model, not a curated record. NCBI's taxonomy places the organism in Eukaryota, Metazoa, Chordata, Mammalia, Diprotodontia, Phascolarctidae.